GGCCAAAUCAGAGCUGGUGGUAGUCGCUACGGCUGCUCCUCCGUCAGCAAGGGCUGCAAGUCGUACGUCCACGUCGACAAGAAUGACGUCAUACUGCACUACGUCACAGAACACAACCACAAGCCAGACCAGUACUUCGUGACCAAGAGUGGGCAUUACGUGAAAGUUAAAUAUUUCAGUGUUACCAUUCCUCAAUUUGGCGCGAAGUGUAGCGGACUCUUAUAAUUUGCGCUUCGUGAAGACGUCCACUGGUGGGAACUUGCUCAUAUACAACGGAUACACGUACAGCAAGAAUGGACACAUCAGGAAAGGUGGCACUAGGUUCGCGUGCUCCAAGCUGCAGAAGCAGUGCAAAGCCCACCUGCACCUAGCGAACAGCGGGGAGAUUCUGAAGGCCGAGGAAGACCACAACCACCCGCCGCCAGGAUUCUACAUCACCAAGGACGGGUACUUCAUCAAGACGGAUACCGCUCGACCGAGAGACAUGGAUCGAAUUUUUGGUACUGGGAUGAUGCCUCGGUAAUGAAAUAAAAACAAAAGAAAAAAUACGUGUCUAAUAUUUUCUGUCUGAUAGACUAAAUAUUUUUUUUUUAUUAUAGUUAAACCUAUUAGGGCUGUUCCGCCAGCAUGUUUGAAAAUACAGAUUUAUUUCUUGAAUGGAAGGUAGAUAUCUGGAUCACCACACUAUUUGUACUUAUAAAUAAAAGAGUGAAGAGAGAACAUAAAGAAAAAGUGAAUUCAAUACAUAGGUAGUUAAUGCAGGGAAUGAACCAGUAAAGUCGAGAUACUUACUGUUAAAAUGCUGUUCCUCCAUAGAUUUUGUAAAUACCUAUACUAUUGUCUUAGUCAUUAUCCUAUUGUAUGUCUGGAGUCAUAUGUAGAUUCUAUUUUACAGAUUAUUUCUUUAUUUUA
This is a long non-coding RNA of Ostrinia furnacalis (Asian corn borer), 912 nucleotides long. RefSeq lists it as uncharacterized. Lineage: Eukaryota; Metazoa; Arthropoda; Insecta; Lepidoptera; Crambidae. The record is from RefSeq and is a predicted model, not a curated record. The transcript is spliced from 4 exons.